Molecule: ribosomal RNA, 708 nt
Filed under: Triticum aestivum (bread wheat)
Lineage: Eukaryota; Viridiplantae; Streptophyta; Magnoliopsida; Poales; Poaceae
Description: partial small subunit ribosomal RNA
Source: RNAcentral
AUGCUCCGCGCCGGGAGUCGCCUCCUCUGCCGGGGGUGUUGCGCCGGAGGGCGCUGCCUCCCUGCAGAGCUGAGGUCGUGCCAUGGCCACCACUUCGCGGGCUGCGCGCCUCUCUGUGAGCGGGCGCGGCCGUGGCCGUGGUCCCCUGCGCUCGUAGGGGCAAGGCCGAGGGCCAGGCGCGGGGUGUGCCGGGAGGAACGGCCGCACCUUUUGCUCGUUGCGCGUGCGUCGGAUGGCGCAGCCGAGGGCUCGACCACCGCAGUGCUUUGCGACGAGGCUGAACUCCACGCCGUGGGGAGCCGUGCAAGAGGGCUGUCGUCAGUCUCGCGGGCGGGCGCGCGCGAGGGCGGCCACGGUGAUGGACGGAGCGCGGGAGCGCGGCCACGGGCGGGGCGCAGGUGGCCACGCGCGCGGCCUGGGGCUGCCGGCUGUAUGGCGCGGUUGCGUCGUACGCCAGUGCCAGGGGCCGAUGAUACGGCACCGUUGCUGAUGCUAAUGCUUUCUACAGAGUGGAAAAACACGGUGAAGAACCUUUUUUCUUCUCAUGUGGUGGCUUUUUGCAUCAGUCUGUUGAUUGAUCUUCUGGCCUUGAUGAUCUUUGAAUCAAUGGAUGCCAACGCCCACUUAUUCUGUUGUCGAUUCAGGAAUAGAGUCGACGGCGGCUGGGUUGACGCCCUGUUUCUUCUGAUUUUGGCCGAACACCUAUGA